ACAACUAUUGAAGCCAACAGGAAAAGAAAAUCUGCUAUUAUAGCUAAUAUCAAAAGAAAAACAACUGCUAUUAUCACUAAUAUCAAAAGAAAAGCUCAGAGGAAAAGAAAGAAGGCUAAUAAAUCUAGUAAAAGUGAAACUGCUGAGACGCCUAAUGAUGCAGUUUCACCUGAACUGGAUAAAUGUUGCUAUGAUGAAUGUGUAUCCAGACAAAACAUAUGCUUUGAAGACCAAGUUAAAACAGCAAUUGCA
Molecule: long non-coding RNA, 252 nt
Organism: Xenopus laevis (African clawed frog)
Lineage: Eukaryota; Metazoa; Chordata; Amphibia; Anura; Pipidae
Exons: 2
Source: RefSeq, a predicted model, not a curated record